GAGCAUGUGGUUUAAUUCGAAGCAACGCGCAGAACCUUACCUACCCUUGACAUCCCGAUCGCGGUUUCCAGAGAUGGAUUCCUUCAGUUAGGCUGGAUCGGUGACAGGUGCUGCAUGGCUGUCGUCAGCUCGUGUCGUGAGAUGUUGGGUUAAGUCCCGCAACGAGCGCAACCCUCAUCCUUAGUUGCCAUCACGUUUGGGUGGGCACUCUAAGGAGACUGCCGGUGGUAAGCCGGAGGAAGGUGGGGAUGACGUCAAGUCCUCAUGGCCCUUACGGGUAGGGCUACACACGUGCUACAAUGGCAGUGACAAUGGGUUAAUCCCCAAAAACUGUCUCAGUUCGGAUUGUCGUCCGCAACUCGACGGCAUGAAGGUGGAAUCGCUAGUAAUCGUGGAUCAGCAUGCCACGGUGAAUACGUUCCCGGGCCUUGUACACACCGCCCGUCACAUCAUGGGAAUUGGUUCUACCCGAAGACGCUGUGCUAACUUCGGAGGCAGGCGGCCACGGUAGGAUCAGUGACUGGGAUGAAGUCGUAACAAGGUAACCGUAAAGGGCGAA
RNAcentral lists this ribosomal RNA (559 nucleotides) under uncultured bacterium. RNAcentral's name for it is "bacterial SSU rRNA". It matches the Rfam family "Bacterial small subunit ribosomal RNA", at positions 935 to 1510 of the family's 1533-position model. The record is from RNAcentral.